CCUACGGGAGGCAGCAGUAGGGAAUAUUGCUCAAUGGGGGAAACCCUGAUGCAGCAACGCCGCGUGGAUGAUGAAGGUUUUCGGAUUGUAAACUCCUUUUGUUAGAGAAGAUAAUGACGGUAUCUAACGAAUAAGCAUCGGCUAACUCCGUGCCAGCAGCUGCGGUAAUACGGAGGGUGCAAGCGUUACUCGGAUUCACUGGGCGUAAAGAGCGCGGAGGCGGGAUAGCAAGUCAGAUGUGAAAUCCUAUGGCUUAACCAUAGAACUGCAUUUGAAACUGUUCUUCUAGAGGAUGGGAGAGGGAGGUGGAAUUCUAGGUGUAGGGGUAGAAUGCGUAGAGA
RNAcentral lists this ribosomal RNA (341 nucleotides) under uncultured bacterium. RNAcentral describes it as "partial 16S ribosomal RNA". It matches the Rfam family "Bacterial small subunit ribosomal RNA", at positions 338 to 696 of the family's 1533-position model. The record is from RNAcentral.